This is a long non-coding RNA of Vidua chalybeata, 469 nucleotides long. RefSeq lists it as uncharacterized. The record is from RefSeq and is a predicted model, not a curated record. NCBI's taxonomy places the organism in Eukaryota, Metazoa, Chordata, Aves, Passeriformes, Viduidae. The transcript has 2 exons.
CCGCCCAGCAGCUGCCAUUCACACAAACAGCACCAAGGGGCAAUGUUUGCAUAUUGUGUUAAAGAGUUUUGAAAGCACUUCGAGCCAUGGAAGUUAAGAGGACAAACUCAGACACAGAAUCGCAGAAUCACAGACUCAAACAAUACGCUGAGAUGGAAGGGGGCCACCAGGAUCACAGAGUCCAACUUCUGGCCCUGCACAGGACACCCCAACAAUCCCAUCAGGUGUUGCAGAGCAUCAUCCAAAUACUUUACGAACUCUGUCAGGCUUGGUGCUGUGACCACUGCCCUGGGGAGCCUGUUCAGUGCCCAACCACUCUGUGUGAAGAACCUUUUCCUGAUAUCCAACCUAAACCUCCCCUGCUGCUCUUGUUGUUUUCAGCUUUCAAGUGGCCACCCCUUUCUUACGUUUCUGCGGCUUUCCAGCCGAGCUACCUAAAGACAUGAAUAAACUGUCAAUCUCUCGUGCA